Molecule: transfer RNA, 77 nt
Filed under: Candidatus Omnitrophota bacterium
Lineage: Bacteria; Pseudomonadati; Candidatus Omnitrophota
Description: tRNA-Val
Rfam family: tRNA
About the family: Transfer RNA (tRNA) molecules are approximately 80 nucleotides in length. Their secondary structure includes four short double-helical elements and three loops (D, anti-codon, and T loops). Further hydrogen bonds mediate the characteristic L-shaped molecular structure. tRNAs have two regions of fundamental functional importance: the anti-codon, which is responsible for specific mRNA codon recognition, and the 3' end, to which the tRNAs corresponding amino acid is attached (by aminoacyl-tRNA synthetases). tRNAs cope with the degeneracy of the genetic code in two manners: having more than one tRNA (with a specific anti-codon) for a particular amino acid; and 'wobble' base-pairing, i.e. permitting non-standard base-pairing at the 3rd anti-codon position.
Source: RNAcentral
GGGCGAUUAGCUCAGCUGGCUAGAGCAUCUGGAUCACAACCAGGGGGUCGUAGGUUCAAGUCCUACAUCGCCCACCA